Molecule: long non-coding RNA, 99 nt
Organism: Hyaena hyaena (striped hyena)
Lineage: Eukaryota; Metazoa; Chordata; Mammalia; Carnivora; Hyaenidae
Exons: 3
Source: RefSeq, a predicted model, not a curated record
AGGGAGACACAGAAUCCAAAGCAGGCUCCAGGCUCUGAGCUGUCAGCACAGAGCCCGUCACAGGGCUGGAGCUCGUGAACUGUGAAAUCAUGACCUGAG